GAAGGUAUAGCUCAGUGGUAGAGCGCCUGCCUAUGAAUGCACAAGGUCCUGGGUUCAAUCCCCAGCACAUCCA
RNAcentral lists this transfer RNA (73 nucleotides) under Camelus bactrianus (Bactrian camel). It matches the Rfam family "tRNA". Rfam says of the family: Transfer RNA (tRNA) molecules are approximately 80 nucleotides in length. Their secondary structure includes four short double-helical elements and three loops (D, anti-codon, and T loops). RNAcentral also lists the same sequence under 3 other names. Lineage: Eukaryota; Metazoa; Chordata; Mammalia; Artiodactyla; Camelidae. The record is from Rfam by way of RNAcentral.